AAGAAGUUAGUCUAAAAAAGACAAUUAAUUUCGACUUAAUAAAUUGUGAUAUGCUUCACAACUUCUUU
This 68-nucleotide transfer RNA is filed under the name Ichthyophis glutinosus (Ceylon caecilian). Its description in RNAcentral is "tRNA-Arg". Lineage: Eukaryota; Metazoa; Chordata; Amphibia; Gymnophiona; Ichthyophiidae. The record is from RNAcentral.